This 304-nucleotide ribosomal RNA is filed under the name Parvimonas micra. Its description in RNAcentral is "bacterial SSU rRNA". It matches the Rfam family "Bacterial small subunit ribosomal RNA", at positions 1160 to 1463 of the family's 1533-position model. Lineage: Bacteria; Bacillati; Bacillota; Tissierellia; Tissierellales; Peptoniphilaceae. The record is from RNAcentral.
AAAUCGGAGGAAGGUGGGGAUGACGUCAAAUCAUCAUGCCCUUUAUGUCUUGGGCUACACACGUGCUACAAUGGUUGGUACAACGAGAAGCGAGAUAGAGAUGUUAAGCGAAACUCUAAAAACCAAUCUCAGUUCGGAUUGUAGGCUGCAACUCGCCUACAUGAAGUCGGAGUUGCUAGUAAUCGCGAAUCAGAAUGUCGCGGUGAAUGCGUUCCCGGGUCUUGUACACACCGCCCGUCACACCAUGGGAGUUGGCAAUACCCGAAGCCGCCGAUCUAACCGCAAGGAGGAAGGCGUCGAAGGU